This 354-nucleotide long non-coding RNA is filed under the name Ananas comosus (pineapple). Its description in RNAcentral is "long non-coding RNA (ACOM_LNC030356)". The record is from RNAcentral. Lineage: Eukaryota; Viridiplantae; Streptophyta; Magnoliopsida; Poales; Bromeliaceae.
UUUAGUAGUUUAAAUAAAUGGUUCAGUUAGAUAAUCCUCUGAUUGCUUGAAUGUUGUGAACUGGUUUUAGUUGUGGAUGUUUUCGUUAUUUAUGCUUGUGAUUGUGGAUCUAAGAUUGGAGUUUAUGGAUUCAUGGUUCUAGUUUUAUGGUUUUUGGUCCUUGGAUUUGCGUAUUUUAUGGAUUUAUACAUCGUGGAUUUCUACCCCUCAAGGUAGCUGGUUUUCAAAAUAGAGUUUCCGUGUGGAAAACAGUUUUCAAAAGAUUUUCGAAUGGUUUUCAUGAAUGAAUGAAUUAGAUUUUGAAAACAAAGCUUCCGGGUGGGGAGCACUUUUAAAUAGGAUGAUUGUUGUACU